RNAcentral lists this ribosomal RNA (92 nucleotides) under Acetobacteroides hydrogenigenes. The record is from RNAcentral. Lineage: Bacteria; Pseudomonadati; Bacteroidota; Bacteroidia; Bacteroidales; Rikenellaceae.
GCUCCACCCCUUCCCAUUCCGAACAGGGCCGUUAAGCCCGCCAGCGCCGAUGGUACUGCUACACCAAGCGGGAGAGUAGGUGGCCGCCAAAC